Lactuca sativa (garden lettuce) is the source of this 2656-nucleotide long non-coding RNA. RefSeq lists it as uncharacterized. The record is from RefSeq and is a predicted model, not a curated record. Lineage: Eukaryota; Viridiplantae; Streptophyta; Magnoliopsida; Asterales; Asteraceae.
UUUUACAAUUUCCUGCUUCUUGUCAAACGUUUAUACUUUCCACGUGUACUCUUCUGCCUUUUUUUUUCAUGUGUUCCCUUCUUCUUCUUUUCUCUUUAUCUUUCGUUCAGCCUUCGCUUCUGUUUUCAUACGUCCUUGCUUCUUUCUGUCCCAGGUAAUCUUCUUGUGUUCUUCUUUUAUUGUUUCUUCCGUUGUGGUAUUUUUGUUUACUUUAUUCCUGUUGUGUCAUCCGCCUGUUUUCUGAUGGCUGUUCCGGCCAAAUGGAGGCCUCAAGACGGUGCUUCCUCCUCUAUUGGUGGCCCUCGCAAGUCUCGACGUCUUGCAGCCUUUUCUGAUCGUCCCCAGUACAUCAAUUUCGGUGUCUGUAGUUGCAUUUGUGAGUUUUGCGGUGCAUUUUCUGGUAUAUUAAGAGGGUCCUUAAGGUAUCUGUGUCUGCUUAUCUGAUGUAUAAUCCUUGGCGUAUGGAUGGGGGUGUAGUCCUUCCUUACCCUUCUAGGCUUUCCUCUGAAUUCGUUGACCUGUAUCAAAUGCACGCUUUUUGAAGGACAUUAGGGCUUAUAAUAGCAUGUUUUCCAUGCCUUCCUUUGGGGAAAAUGUAGAUGAGGAUGUGAAUGAUAACCAUGGUCCUUAUGUUUUUAAGAUAUCGGGUCAGAUUAGUCACACGAUAGGGUUUCUCUCUCCGGAUCCUGCAAAGGGUCUCAGGUUUCUGCAGCUUUAUCUCUUCGAUACUGAGAACGAACUAGAGAAUAGAUUUCGGGCUUUUGAUGGUCCUAGAAAGAGGGAUUUAGAUUGUAAUAUUGUUCAAUUUAUAGUAAACUUUUUGGGGGCUAACAACGAGUAUGUGCGGACCUUCAUGACUAGUAAACAGAUGGCCGGUGAAAAUAAUUUACAGUCCUAUGCAGUGCAACUGUUUAACAAUGUUGCUGAUCGUAGGUGUGAUUUGCCUUCGCCUGGAUCAUUGGGUUGCAUAGUAAGCGGUGAUGACACAACGUGUUCCACGUAUGACAUUCUUAUCUAUUUUCAUUCGGGUCGGCCUCAACGUAUCAGUAAGCUGCAUUCGAGCUAUAUGCCUUUACAAUACCCACUUUUGUUUCCACAUGGCGAGGAAGGUUGGUCGCCCCAUUUGAAGAUGGGUAAUCGGAGAGGCGUAACCGCUAAAAAUCUGAUUGUGAAUAUGUAUUAUGCAUAUAAUAUCCAUGCUCGUCAGUACAUCUAGUCUCCUAUUAUAAACGCCUCUCGCCUGUUCCAACAAUAUUUGGUUGAUGCAUACACAUGUAUAGAAGAAGGGCGUUUAGACUACAUCAUCAACCAUCAAGCUAACCUUCGGUCCGAUUAUGUUAGUGGCCUCCAUGACGCCCUUUCGAAGGGGGACACAGAGACACGCGUUGUUGGCAAACAUAUGUUCUUACCUGCGUCAUUUACUGGCGGUCCCCGGUUCAUGUACAACCAUUAUCAAGAUGCACUUUCUAUAUGUAGGGUCUAUGGCAAUCCACAAUACUUUAUCACAUAUACAUGUAACGUCAAGUGGCCAGAGAUAACCCGCUAUAUGGAUACACAUGGACAAAGAGAUGUCCACAGUAGAGCGGAUAUCAUUGCCAGAGUCUUCAACAUCAAAGUUCAUGAGUUUAUCAACUUUCUUAAAGAGAACAUAACCUUUGGUGGGGUUGAUGCAUAUUUGUACACCAUUGAGUUCCAGAAGAGAGGUCUUCCUCAUUGUCACACUUUACUAUGGGUAAAAAGCUCAGACCGAAUAAAAAAUGUAGCUGAUGUUGACACGUAUAUUACAGCCGAGCUGCCAGAUCCAAUCACAGAGCCCGACUUGUACGAGACGAUAACAACUUGCAUGAUCCACGGCCCAUGUGGACCACUUAACCAAAAAGCUCCAUGUAUGAAAGAUGGUAAAUGUAGUAAACAUUUCCCUAAACCCUUUCUUUUACGCUACGUUGUUCAACACGGAGGGAUAUGUACGCUACAAACGUGGGUCAUCUACACACCAUACCACCUAAUAUAGACGGGUUAUAGACAACGUAUAUGUUGUGCCCUUUUGCUCACGAUUCCGUGCACACAUUAAUGUCGAGUACUGUGGCUGGAACAUGGUGAUUAAGUACCUAUUCAAAUACAUUUCCAAGGGAGCUGAUCGUGUAAGAUACGCUAUCCAAAAGGCGGAAUCACUCUGGGGAUUGUCGAGCUAGUAGUGGGUGCCACAGGUGUAGCAAGGAGGGGCACUAUGCAAAGAAUUGUCGCCAGUCCGCCCCUACCUCGGAUAUGAGGAUAUGUUAUCAUUGUCAUAAGGUUGGUCACGUGAAGACCAACUGUCUACAGCUCGCAGCCAGGCCGGUGUAGGCUCUAGUGCCGGCUACAUCAAGGAUUACGGAUGGGAGGCCAGGUAGAGCGGAGCCUCGGAAGGCUCAGGGGCAUUCCUUCUAGCUCACUGCAUAGGAGGUCGGGGCAGCACCAUAUGUGGUUGCUGGUACUUCUAGUGAUCGCGGGAAGGCGAAGGCAUAAUCGUACAACUCCUCAUGUUAUUAUGAUUUUAUGAUUUGAUACUGGGAUACUCUGAUAUUUAAUAUUUUGAAAACAAACUUUGUAAUGUUAAAUGGUUUGAAAUGUUUUAAAAAGUUUAAAUUUGACACGAUUUUUAUGAGUGUUACAGAAA